AUGCAAGUCGGGGGAAUCCCAGCAAUGGGGGAACCGGCGUAAGGGGCAGUAAUGUGUGGGUACCUACCUUUGGGUUCGGGAUAGCCAUCAGAGAUGGUGGGUAAUACCGGAUGAUGUCGUGAGACCAAAGAUUUAUCGCCCGAAGAGGGGCCCACAUGAUAUUAGCUAGUUGGUGAGGUAAUGGCUCACCAAGGCGAAGAUGUCUAGCGGGUGUGAGAGCACGACCCGCGCCACUCGCACUGAGACACUGGCGAGACACCUACGGGUGGCUGCAGUCGAGGAUCUUCGGCAAUGAGCGCAAGCUUGACCGAGCGACGCCGCGUGAGCGAUGAAGGCCUUCGGGUUGUAAAGCUCUUUAGUGGGGGAGAAAAGCCCGCAAGGGUGUGAUCUAUCCCAAAAAUAAGCACGGGCUAAGUUCGUGCCAGCAGCCGCGGUAAGACGAACCGUGCGAACGUUGUUCGGAAUCACUGGGCUUAAAGGGCGCGUAGGCGGGCUGUCAAGUCUGGGGUGAAAU
RNAcentral lists this ribosomal RNA (514 nucleotides) under uncultured bacterium. RNAcentral's name for it is "bacterial SSU rRNA". It matches the Rfam family "Bacterial small subunit ribosomal RNA", at positions 55 to 600 of the family's 1533-position model. The record is from RNAcentral.